UUUGUUGUCUCCGUUUCUCUAAGGAAUAGCAAUUUUAUAGUGGUUAGUCUAAUGAUUUAGGGAGUAUUUGCAGUUUUGCUAAAUUAAUUGAUAAAAAAUUAGAACGAUUUCCAUGUACCAUGAAAAGGAGUUUAUCAUAAAUUAAUACAAAUGUAUAAUGUGGUUAUAAAUUUUAAAACGAAUUAAAAGAUUAUAAGCUUCAUAUAUAGAUCAUUUACCGAAAACUCACUAUUUUCGUAGGGG
Molecule: long non-coding RNA, 243 nt
Filed under: Brassica rapa (field mustard)
Lineage: Eukaryota; Viridiplantae; Streptophyta; Magnoliopsida; Brassicales; Brassicaceae
Description: long non-coding RNA (BRAP_LNC008343)
Source: RNAcentral